This 253-nucleotide ribosomal RNA is filed under the name uncultured bacterium. RNAcentral describes it as "partial 16S ribosomal RNA". It matches the Rfam family "Bacterial small subunit ribosomal RNA", at positions 524 to 776 of the family's 1533-position model. The record is from RNAcentral.
UACGUAGGGCGCAAGCGUUGUCCGGAAUUAUUGGGCGUAAAGAGCUCGUAGGUGGCGUGUCGCGUCUGCCGUGAAAGCCCAUGGCUUAACUGUGGGUCUGCGGUGGGUACGGGCAGGCUGGAGGCUGGUAGGGGCAAGCGGAAUUCCUGGUGUAGCGGUGAAAUGCGUAGAUAUCAAGAGGAACACCUGAGGUGAAGACGGGUUGCUGGGCCAACACUGACGCUGAGGCGCGAAAGCCAGGGGAGCAAACGGG